Molecule: ribosomal RNA, 269 nt
Filed under: Paenibacillus polymyxa
Lineage: Bacteria; Bacillati; Bacillota; Bacilli; Caryophanales; Paenibacillaceae
Description: partial 16S ribosomal RNA
Rfam family: Bacterial small subunit ribosomal RNA
Source: RNAcentral
UUAAUGGAGAGUUUGAUCCUGGCUCAGGACGAACGCUGGCGGCGUGCCUAAUACAUGCAAGUCGAGCGGGGUUAGUUAGAAGCUUGCUUCUAACUAACCUAGCGGCGGACGGGUGAGUAACACGUAGGCAACCUGCCCACAAGACAGGGAUAACUACCGGAAACGGUAGCUAAUACCCGAUACAUCCUUUUCCUGCAUGGGAGAAGGAGGAAAGGCGGAGCAAUCUGUCGCUUGUGGAUGGGCCUGCGGCGCAUUAGCUAGUUGGUGGG